RNAcentral lists this ribosomal RNA (468 nucleotides) under uncultured bacterium. RNAcentral describes it as "partial 16S ribosomal RNA". It matches the Rfam family "Bacterial small subunit ribosomal RNA", at positions 28 to 507 of the family's 1533-position model. The record is from RNAcentral.
GACGAACGCUGGCGGCGUGCUUAACACAUGCAAGUCGAACGGAAAGGCCCUGCUUUUGUGGGGUGCUCGAGUGGCGAACGGGUGAGUAACACGUGAGUAACCUGCCCUUGACUUUGGGAUAACUUCAGGAAACUGGGGCUAAUACCGGAUAGGAGCUCCUGCUGCAUGGUGGGGGUUGGAAAGUUUCGGCGGUUGGGGAUGGACUCGCGGCUUAUCAGCUUGUUGGUGGGGUAGUGGCUUACCAAGGCUUUGACGGGUAGCCGGCCUGGGAGGGUGACCGGCCACAUUGGGACUGAGAUAGGGCCCAGACUCCUACGGGAGGCAGCAGUGGGGAAUAUUGUACAAUGGGCGGAAGCCUGAUGCAGCAACGCCGCGUGUGGGAUGACGGCCUUCGGGUUGUAAACCGCUUUCGCCUGUGACGAAGCGUGAGUGACGGUAAUGGGUAAAGAAGCACCGGCUAACUACGUG